AGAGCGAACGCUGGCGGCAGGCUUAAUACAUGCAAGUCGAGCGCCUGUAGCAAUACAGGAGCGGCAGACGGGUGAGUAACGCGUGGGAACGUACCCUUUGGUUCGGAACAACACAGGGAAACUUGUGCUAAUACCGGAUAAGCCCUUACGGGGAAAGAUUUAUCGCCGAAGGAUCGGCCCGCGUCUGAUUAGCUAGUUGGUGAGGUAACGGCUCACCAAGGCGACGAUCAGUAGCUGGUCUGAGAGGAUGAUCAGCCACACUGGGACUGAGACACGGCCCAGACUCCUACGGGAGGCAGCAGUAGGGAAUAUUGGACAAUGGGGGCAACCCUGAUCCAGCCAUGCCGCGUGAGUGAUGAAGGCCUUAGGGUUGUAAAGCUCUUUUGUGCGGGAAGAUAAUGACGGUACCGCAAGAAUAAGCCCGGCUAACUUCGUGCCAGCAGCCGC
This 447-nucleotide ribosomal RNA is filed under the name uncultured bacterium. RNAcentral describes it as "SSU rRNA". It matches the Rfam family "Bacterial small subunit ribosomal RNA", at positions 26 to 518 of the family's 1533-position model. The record is from RNAcentral.